This 434-nucleotide ribosomal RNA is filed under the name uncultured Lachnospiraceae bacterium. RNAcentral's name for it is "partial 16S ribosomal RNA". It matches the Rfam family "Bacterial small subunit ribosomal RNA", at positions 341 to 792 of the family's 1533-position model. The record is from RNAcentral. Lineage: Bacteria; Bacillati; Bacillota; Clostridia; Lachnospirales; Lachnospiraceae.
ACGGAAGGCAGCAGUGGGGGAUAUUGCACAAUGGGGGAAACCCUGAUGCAGCGACGCCGCGUGAGCGAAGAAGUAUUUCGGUAUGUAAAGCUCUAUCAGCAGGGAAGAAAAUGACGGUACCUGACUAAGAAGCUCCGGCUAAAUACGUGCCAGCAGCCGCGGUAAUACGUAUGGAGCAAGCGUUAUCCGGAUUUACUGGGUGUAAAGGGAGCGUAGACGGUUUGCCAAGUCUGAUGUGAAAGGUGGGGGCUCAACCCCCAAACUGCAUUGGAAACUGGUAGACUAGAGUGUCGGAGAGGUAAGUGGAAUUCCUAGUGUAGCGGUGAAAUGCGCAGAUAUUAGGAGGAACACCAGUGGCGAAGGCGGCUUACUGGACGAUAACUGACGUUGAGGCUCGAAAGCGUGGGGAGCAAACAGGAUUAGAUACCCUGGUA